CAUCCGAACUGUGGGUCAUGAUCUUCCUCCGAUGCCGCCUCCCGGUGUCGACCGACACUGGCGCGCUUGCAUAAAACCCGAUGAAAUCUCGCGUGCCAUCGGUAACGGGUGCGACUUAGCAGUGAAUGAGCGCACAUCACUGAUGGAUGCGGGACUGGCGCGCGCGACUACAGCGGUGGGCCGGUCUAUCGCCUUGGUGGAAGGA
This 205-nucleotide unclassified non-coding RNA is filed under the name Hevea brasiliensis (rubber tree). Lineage: Eukaryota; Viridiplantae; Streptophyta; Magnoliopsida; Malpighiales; Euphorbiaceae. The record is from RNAcentral.